AACGAACGCUGGCGGCAGGCCUAACACAUGCAAGUCGAACGCCGUAGCAAUACGGAGUGGCAGACGGGUGAGUAACACGUGGGAACGUACCUUUCGGUUCGGAAUAACUCAGGGAAACUUGAGCUAAUACCGGAUACGUGCGAGAGCAGAAAGAUUUAUCGCCGAAAGAUCGGCCCGCGUCCGAUUAGCUUGUUGGUGAGGUAACGGCUCACCAAGGCGACGAUCGGUAGCUGGUCUGAGAGGAUGAUCAGCCACACUGGGACUGAGACACGGCCCAGACUCCUACGGGAGGCAGCAGUGGGGAAUAUUGGACAAUGGGCGCAAGCCUGAUCCAGCCAUGCCGCGUGAGUGAUGACGGCCUUAGGGUUGUAAAGCUCUUUCGCCAGGGACGAUAAUGACGGUACCUGGAUAAGAAGCCCCGGCUAACUUCGUGCCAGCAGCCG
RNAcentral lists this ribosomal RNA (443 nucleotides) under uncultured bacterium. Its description in RNAcentral is "bacterial SSU rRNA". It matches the Rfam family "Bacterial small subunit ribosomal RNA", at positions 29 to 517 of the family's 1533-position model. The record is from RNAcentral.